CCUACGGGUGGCAGCAGUGAGGAAUAUUGGUCAAUGGGCGAAGGGCUGAACCAGCCAAGUCGCGGGAGGGAGGAAGGUCCGAUGGAUUGUAAACCUCUGUUGUCAGGGAGCAAAGGGCGGCACGUGUGGCGUGUUGCGAGUACCUGAAGAAAAAGAACCGGCUAACUCCGUGCCAGCAGCCGCGGUAAUACGGGGGAUGCGAGCGUUACCCGGAUUAAUUGGGUUUAAAGGGUGCGCAGGCGGACUGUCAAGUCAGCGGUAAAAUUUCGGGGCUCAACCCCGUCUUGCCGUUGAAACUGGCGUUCUUGAGUGGGCGAGAGGUAUGCGGAAUGCGUGGUGUAGCGGU
RNAcentral lists this ribosomal RNA (346 nucleotides) under uncultured bacterium. RNAcentral's name for it is "partial 16S ribosomal RNA". It matches the Rfam family "Bacterial small subunit ribosomal RNA", at positions 338 to 682 of the family's 1533-position model. The record is from RNAcentral.